Molecule: long non-coding RNA, 689 nt
Filed under: Fukomys damarensis (Damara mole-rat)
Lineage: Eukaryota; Metazoa; Chordata; Mammalia; Rodentia; Bathyergidae
Description: lncRNA (ENSFDAG00000028138.1)
Source: RNAcentral
AAAAUAUUUUCUAAAGCUCAAGAUUUAAUUUAAACCAAAAUUUUCUGAUACAGACCUAUUUCCCCCAUUUUCAUCCCUGAUAGAUGUUCUCCAUUAUCUCAUUAGUAAUACAUUCCCGUGUGUGGUUGUCUUAUCACUACACUUUUACUGUCAUUAAUUUUGUUCUUAUCUUCUCACUGAGGAUCUGGAUAGAGUCAAUUGUGAUGAAAGCUGUGACUAGGCAACUUGAAUGGAGUGACACUGUGGGCUCAAUACAGGACACAGCCGAAAACUUGGUCUCCUUCUCCUUUGACAAUCUUUCUGUAGAGAAUAAUUUGGAAUGUUGGAUUUCCUCUAUUUCAGAAGAAGAACUUUGCUGAACUUUUUGGUGAUACAGCCCCUCCUGAUCAGAAAGCUCCCCAGAUGUCACUCUCUGUUGCUCAUCCAGAAGUUGCUGAAGUUCCUCUGCAGACAGUUCCUCUGAGUGUUCCUCCACCAGUUCCUCAACAUUACCACUGUUUUCUUGCAAGCGUCUAAACUGCUAUGGUGACAGUAUCAUCAACCACACGGUCAAUCGAAGGUUCAGGCUCCUCUACACAGCCUUCAAAGUCACUCUGUAGUAUAAUUUCAGGCCACACUUUCUUCCAGACAAAUCUCUGUGCCUUAGAGAGAGACAUUGGUUCAGGAUUUCUCAAUUAACCCCAUCCAGG